UUGAACGCUGGCGGCAUGCUUUACACAUGCAAGUCGAACGGCAGCGCGGGCUUCGGCCUGGCGGCGAGUGGCGAACGGGUGAGUAAUGCAUCGGAACGUGCCCAGUAGUGGGGGAUAGCCCGGCGAAAGCUGGAUUAAUACCGCAUACGACCUGAGGGUGAAAGCGGGGGACCGAAAGGCCUCGCGCUAUUGGAGCGGCCGAUGUCGGAUUAGCUAGUUGGUGGGGUAAAGGCUUACCAAGGCGACGAUCCGUAGCUGGUCUGAGAGGACGACCAGCCACACUGGGACUGAGACACGGCCCAGACUCCUACGGGAGGCAGCAGUGGGGAAUUUUGGACAAUGGGGGCAACCCUGAUCCAGCCAUGCCGCGUGCGGGAAGAAGGCCUUCGGGUUGUAAACCGCUUUUGUUCGGGAAGAAAUCCUCUGGGCUAAUACCCCGGGGGGAUGACGGUACCGGAAGAAUAAGCACCGGCUAACUACGUG
RNAcentral lists this ribosomal RNA (483 nucleotides) under uncultured bacterium. RNAcentral describes it as "partial 16S ribosomal RNA". It matches the Rfam family "Bacterial small subunit ribosomal RNA", at positions 29 to 507 of the family's 1533-position model. The record is from RNAcentral.